Ornithorhynchus anatinus (platypus) is the source of this 996-nucleotide long non-coding RNA. RefSeq lists it as uncharacterized. Lineage: Eukaryota; Metazoa; Chordata; Mammalia; Monotremata; Ornithorhynchidae. The transcript has 3 exons. The record is from RefSeq and is a predicted model, not a curated record.
CAGUGGGCAGAGCUGCAAGUACAUACACCUGUGGUCACAGCUGACAGCUUCCCUCCUUUCUCCUCCAGCAACAGACAUAAAUCCCUAGAAAGGACUCCAAGUAGGUCUUCAGUUCAGGCCUAUCAGGUCAACUUGAGAGGAGAGACAGAGAGAGAAAGAGAAAAAGAGAACAGCUCCAUGUGGCUCCAGCAUGAUCUGCCGCGAAUUCCAAGACAGAGAGCAGAUGAUGCCAAUCUAUGGGCAAGGCCCAGUUUGGUGCCACAGUCCACCGAGAGGUUUCUUUGCCUCUGAUUUCUUUGGUGGGAAAUCAAGGUCCAGAUUGCCUCUGGCCCUGUAAGGAUUGGAGCAAGACAGCCAGGAGAGGAAGGAGUAUACAAGCCACCAUGGAGAUGAACUUCCUGAGGAGAAGUCAUGCCAACACUGGUUUAUCCAAUUCUCCCAGCCUACCAUACCCCCAUGGUCACCGCUGACUGGAUCACCAAGUAAAAGCAUCAGGAACCCUACCAUCCUCCCUGCACGUCACCCAGACUGAGCCUCUGCUCCCAGCAGGCCGGGCACCUGUGGGCCACAAGAAACUCAAACUAUGGCUCCCCGCUUCCCCGGCCUCCCACCCCACUGGACGGAUAAGCGAAACCACUGCUUGUGCUGCCCGGGGACAGUACUCCCAGUAUGCCUUGCACCUGAAGGACAUGAGGGACUCAAGCUGUGGCAGCAAAAGACCACUUAAGGCUGAAGUCACUUGGGAGGUUUGGCCGUGACUGGACUCUGGGUGACCUUGAUGGCAGCACCUCAAGGGCCACACAGAUUCCCUUCACCACCCUGACACCUGUUGGGCUCUGAGCUUUGCCCUUUAUGUUGUUUUGUUGUUUGGAUUGUUUUCUUCUUUUCUCACGUCUGUCACCAUUGUUCUGUGAGCCCGGGGAGGACUGGGGACUGUACCUAAUUUGUAUAGCACUUUACACACAGUAGGUAGUUCAAUAAAUACUAUCACUACCA